Molecule: unclassified non-coding RNA, 267 nt
Filed under: Basidiomycota sp.
Lineage: Eukaryota; Fungi; Basidiomycota
Description: partial contains small subunit ribosomal RNA, internal transcribed spacer 1, and 5.8S ribosomal RNA
Rfam family: Eukaryotic small subunit ribosomal RNA (bases 1-47)
Source: RNAcentral
AAAGUCGUAACAAGGUUUCCGUAGGUGAACCUGCGGAAGGAUCAUUAACAAUUCGAUGUCUUUUCGAGCAUCGUCCACACCCAUGCCUUUCCACUUGCCGCGCAGGCCCGUUUUGCCUUGUGCAGAGCAGCCUGCGCCGGCCUCGAUAUACCAAUAUCGGCAUUAAACAAACGAGAAACCAACGAGUAGCCGCGAGUUUGUACUAUGCGUCGGUAAAACGGCGCGCCAAAUAUAAUACAACUUUUAACAACGGAUCUCUUGGCUCUU